This 442-nucleotide ribosomal RNA is filed under the name uncultured bacterium. RNAcentral describes it as "bacterial SSU rRNA". It matches the Rfam family "Bacterial small subunit ribosomal RNA", at positions 958 to 1399 of the family's 1533-position model. The record is from RNAcentral.
AACGCGAAGAACCUUACCUACUCUUGACAUCCUCGGAAUCUUCUGGAGACAGGAGAGUGCCUUCGGGAACCGAGAGACAGGUGCUGCAUGGCUGUCGUCAGCUCGUGUCGUGAGAUGUUGGGUUAAGUCCCGUAACGAGCGCAACCCUUGUCCUUAGUUGCCAGCGCGUCAUGGCGGGAACUCUAAGGAGACUGCCGGUGAUAAACCGGAGGAAGGUGGGGAUGAUGUCAAGUCAUCAUGGCCCUUACGAGUAGGGCUACACACGUGCUACAAUGGACAGUACAGAGGGUCGCCAAACCGCAAGGUGGAGCUAAUCCCAGAAAGCUGUUCGUAGUCCAGAUUGGAGUCUGCAACUCGACUCCAUGAAGUUGGAAUCGCUAGUAAUCGCGAAUCAGAAUGUCGCGGUGAAUACGUUCCCGGGCCUUGUACACACCGACUGUAC